Molecule: small nuclear RNA, 106 nt
Filed under: Microcebus murinus (gray mouse lemur)
Lineage: Eukaryota; Metazoa; Chordata; Mammalia; Primates; Cheirogaleidae
Source: RNAcentral
GUGCUCACUUCAGCAGCACAUAUAUUAAAAUUGGAACAUUACAGAGAAGAUUAGCAUGGCCCUUUCGCAAAGAUGACACACAAUUUGUGAAGCAUUCCCUAUUUUU